UAAGUAACAGGAUGUUAGGGCACAAUACCGGAGAGGGAGCCUGAGAAACAGCUACCAUAUCUAAGGAAGGCAGCAGGCGCGCAAAUUACUCAAUUCCGACACGGGGAGGUAGUGACAAUACAGGGUUCUUUUGGAUCUUAUAAUUGGAAUGAGUACAAUUUAGAUCUCUUAACGAGGAACAAUUGGAGGGCAAGUCUGCUAUGGUAAUUCCAGCUCCAAUAAUGUAUAUUAAAGUUGUUGCAGUUAAAAAGCUCGUAGUUGAAUUUUGGGAUCAAUGUUUUGGUCAUGCCGUUUGUAUGUACUGAUAUUAUUAGUUUUCACCUUCUAAAGAACUGUAAUGCCAUUAAUUUGGUGUCACAGGAAAUUAGGACUGUUACCUUAAAAAAAUUAAAGCGUUUAAAGCAGGCUUACGCUUGAAUACAUUAGCAUGAAAUAAUGAAAUAGGACAUCUGAUUCUAUUAUGUUGGUCUUUAGGAUCGAUGUAAUGAUUAAUAGGGAUAGUUGAGGGCAUUAGUAUUCAAUUGUCAGAGGUGAAAUUCUUGGAUUUAUUGAAGACUAAUUACUGCAAAAGUAUUUGCCAAGGAUGUUUUCAUUAAUCAAGAACGAAAGUUAGGGGAUCGAAGAUGAUCAGAUACCAUUGUAGUCUUAACCAUAAACUAUGCCAACUAGGGAUCGGAUGAUGUUAAUUUUUUAAUGACUCAUUCAGCGCCUUACGG
This 716-nucleotide ribosomal RNA is filed under the name uncultured fungus. RNAcentral describes it as "bacterial SSU rRNA". It matches the Rfam family "Eukaryotic small subunit ribosomal RNA", at positions 356 to 1093 of the family's 1831-position model. The record is from RNAcentral. Lineage: Eukaryota; Fungi.